RNAcentral lists this ribosomal RNA (364 nucleotides) under Elphidium williamsoni. Its description in RNAcentral is "SSU rRNA". It matches the Rfam family "Eukaryotic small subunit ribosomal RNA", at positions 1188 to 1470 of the family's 1831-position model. Lineage: Eukaryota; Foraminifera; Rotaliida; Elphidiidae. The record is from RNAcentral.
GCUUAAUUUGACUCAACGCGGGAAAUCUUACCGGGUCCGGACACACUGAGGAUUGACAGACAAAUAUAGAAAUUUUAUAUUUCUCAUAUAUAAAGAUGCUAGUUCUUUCAUGAUUAUGUGAUAGGUGGUGCAUGGCCGUUCUUAGUUCGUGGAGUGAUCUGUCUGCUUAAUUGCGUUUCAAUUUUUAUUAUGUAUACGUAUGACCCACGUUUACGCGUGCGAGUCUAGUAUGCUAUCAUUUGAAAGCAACGAACGUGACCGUAUCCUUUUAUUAUAUACGCACGCGUAUAUUUAUUCAUUAAAGGGACCGCUGUUUCUUUUUUUAAACCAGAGGAAGGUUACGGCAAUAACAGGUCUGUGAUGC